UUUUUCACCUAGUCGGCUCAGGGGAUUAGAACCAGCGACCUUUCGGUUACUGGCACAACGCUCUUAACCACUGAGCUACCUGCCGCUCCCUGACUACCUUCCUGUAUUGUACUGUACUAUUGCUACGCUAAAGCUGACAUCUCUGUUCCUGGUUCAGGUUCCUGAGCUGUCUGACUGAUUUAAUGAAGCGCUCACUUCUCAACUGAACAGAGGACAGUUUUAAAGAAGGAUAUAAAGCAUUUGGAAGAAGGAUUUAAAACACUUGGAAGGUAAUUGAAGCGUCGACUGGCCGACCAGCCGACCAGAAGCACCAUGACUAGUGUUAACUCCCCCGCCUGCCUCCUGGCUCGCAACCAGUUCUAUAGAAACACCAGAAGCCCUACAGAAAGUACAAGACCUACUACAGUCUACAGCCUCUCUGAUUGGUCGACGCUAGCACCCAAACAAAGACAAGUAACGGUCUGGGUGACCAUGUCAACACAACCAGGAUUCCCAGGAGCAGGGGGGAUAUCUAGAGGACGGCGGGUCAGUGUGGUUUUGGGGAGCUCCACACCCCGUACAGCCCCCGUCAAGAGCCCCCAACCCAGCCAACAGAGCUGUCCAGUAGAGACACACCAUCACCAAUCAACAGAUUGAAACACACAGAGGGAAAGACUCUGGGAAAGACCCAGCCCAAUUAGAGACACAUCACCACAGAGAGGGAAAGACUCUGGGAAAGACCCAGCCCAAGUAGAGACACACCACCACAGAGGGAAAGACUCUGGGAAAGACCCAGCCCAAGUAGAGACACACCACCACAGAGGGAAAGACUCCAAGAGGAAGAUGAGCGAGAAAGACAUCUUCCUCUCUGUCUGUCCUCUCAGCACAGAAAUAUGGACUUGAUCAAGCCAGUCAAUGUUGGACAUGUUUUCCAUAUUGCUCUGCUCUCUACCCUGACUCCUGCUCCCUGACUCCUGUUUUUGGAGGCAGAAGGAAGGGUGAGAAAAAUAAGCAAUUUCUGCAAGCGCUCUCUAAAACAGACUAUAUUAUUCAAUCCCACCACAUACAGCCUGCUAAAUGGCAUAUUAUUAUUAU
Coregonus clupeaformis (lake whitefish) is the source of this 1074-nucleotide long non-coding RNA. RefSeq lists it as uncharacterized. The record is from RefSeq and is a predicted model, not a curated record. Lineage: Eukaryota; Metazoa; Chordata; Actinopteri; Salmoniformes; Salmonidae. The transcript has 4 exons.